Molecule: ribosomal RNA, 399 nt
Filed under: uncultured Lactobacillus sp.
Lineage: Bacteria; Bacillati; Bacillota; Bacilli; Lactobacillales; Lactobacillaceae
Description: bacterial SSU rRNA
Rfam family: Bacterial small subunit ribosomal RNA
Source: RNAcentral
AAACUAACAGAUUUACUUCGGUAAUGACGUUAGGAAAGCGAGCGGCGGAUGGGUGAGUAACACGUGGGGAACCUGCCCCAUAGUCUGGGAUACCACUUGGAAACAGGUGCUAAUACCGGAUAAGAAAGCAGAUCGCAUGAUCAGCUUUUAAAAGGCGGCGUAAGCUGUCGCUAUGGGAUGGCCCCGCGGUGCAUUAGCUAGUAGGUAAGGUAAAGGCUUACCAAGGCGAUGAUGCAUAGCCGAGUUGAGAGACUGAUCGGCCACAUUGGGACUGAGACACGGCCCAAACUCCUACGGGAGGCAGCAGUAGGGAAUCUUCCACAAUGGACGCAAGUCUGAUGGAGCAACGCCGCGUGAGUGAAGAAGGUUUUCGGAUCGUAAAGCUCUGUUGUUGGUGAA